AGGACGAACGCUGGCGGCGUGCUUAACACAUGCAAGUCGAACGGUAAGGCCCCUUCGGGGGUACACGAGUGGCGAACGGGUGAGUAACACGUGAGCAACCUGCCCUUGACUCUGGAAUAACAGCUGGAAACAGCUGCUAAUACCGGAUAUGACCGCAUGCGACAUCGCAUACGGUGGAAAGCCCUGGCGGUCAAGGAUGGGCUCGCGGCCUAUCAGCUAGUUGGUGAGGUAACGGCUCACCAAGGCUUCGACGGGUAGCCGG
Molecule: ribosomal RNA, 262 nt
Filed under: uncultured bacterium
Lineage: Bacteria
Description: partial small subunit ribosomal RNA
Rfam family: Bacterial small subunit ribosomal RNA
Source: RNAcentral